RNAcentral lists this transfer RNA (82 nucleotides) under Pectobacterium carotovorum. RNAcentral describes it as "tRNA-Ser". RNAcentral also lists the same sequence under 1 other name. Lineage: Bacteria; Pseudomonadati; Pseudomonadota; Gammaproteobacteria; Enterobacterales; Pectobacteriaceae. The record is from RNAcentral.
GGAGAGAUGCCGGAGCGGGCCAGUCUCGAAAACUGGCUUAGGGCAACGCGACCGCGGGUUCAAAUCCCCCCGUCUCUCCACC